Molecule: ribosomal RNA, 505 nt
Filed under: uncultured bacterium
Lineage: Bacteria
Description: partial 16S ribosomal RNA
Rfam family: Bacterial small subunit ribosomal RNA
Source: RNAcentral
GACGAACGCUGGCGGCGUGCCUAAUACAUGCAAGUAGAACGCACAGUUUAUACCGUAGCUUGCUCCACCAUAAACUGUGAGUUGCGAACGGGUGAGUAACGCGUAGGUAACCUGCCUGGUAGCGGGGGAUAACUAUUGGAAACGAUAGCUAAUACCGCAUAAUAUUAAUUAUUGCAUGAUAAUUGAUUGAAAGAUGCAAUUGCAUCACUACCAGAUGGACCUGCGUUGUAUUAGCUAGUAGGUGAGGUAACGGCUCACCUAGGCGACGAUACAUAGCCGACCUGAGAGGGUGAUCGGCCACACUGGGACUGAGACACGGCCCAGACUCCUACGGGAGGCAGCAGUAGGGAAUCUUCGGCAAUAGACGAAAGUCUGACCGAGCAACGCCGCGUGAGUGAAGAAGGUUUUCGGAUCGUAAAGCUCUGUUGUAAGAGAAGAACGGGUGUGAGAGUGGAAAGUUCACACUGUGACGGUAUCUUACCAGAAAGGGACGGCUAACUACGUG